This is an RNA transcript of Corvus hawaiiensis (hawaiian crow), 6245 nucleotides long. It is a transcript of the gene named SEC24 homolog A, COPII coat complex component, with no coding region annotated. Lineage: Eukaryota; Metazoa; Chordata; Aves; Passeriformes; Corvidae. The transcript has 24 exons. The record is from RefSeq and is a predicted model, not a curated record.
GCGCCGCCCGGCAGUUCCGGUGGGUCCAUCCCCCCCCGCCCGGGCCGGUGCCGCCACACGGGCGGCUCCGAGCGCACCCGGCAGAGUCAUGGCCCAGCCCGCCGGGGCCCCCGCCGGCCAGCAGCCCUACAGCAACGGCCCCAUUCAAAAUCAGCUGAUGCAUUCCCCAGAUGGCCAGGGAUACAGCCCUGCGGUUCCAGGAUCAUACUCCCAUCAGAUGCCAGCAAAGGUUACUCCACAUCAGUCUUCUGGACAGUAUAGCUAUAGUGGCUCUCAGAAUGUUUCUCAAUUAAACAACUACCAAGGACCUGGCCAGACUCUCAAUAGACCACCAGUGGCAGCUUUCUCCGGGUCACCAGUACAACAACCAGGUCCUGUUCCACAAGUGCUGCCGCCUGCAUUACAGAACUCAGCAGCUGUAUCAUCUGCUGGAAGCUUUCCUCCUGGAGCCAGUCCACCAGUGCUUUCAAACUGGCAGUACAGCCCGACUCCUGUGAGUCAGCCACUUGGGGCUCAAACAAGCCAUUUGGCUCAUGUGCCUGGGACAGGGUCAGCUCAGCCACCGUCAUCGUUAUCAGGAAGUACAAAUCCUCCAGGGAGUUAUCAAUAUGCUGCUUCUCCGGGGGGUCCUUCACUGCAGAACAGCUACAUGAAGCCAGGAACUGCACCUCCACCAGUGACUCAGCCUUUAACUCCGCUCCACCCUCCAAGGCCACCUUUAGGACCUCCACCAGUUGGUGGUCCACCUAGGCCAUCAGCAGCGAUAGCAGGACCACCUAGUGCACAGUCUCUGCUAAAAUCAGCUGCAAACCAAGAAGGUGAUGCCAGAUCUGCUGCCACUGAUGGGUCUGUAGUGCAAAACAGCUACGAUGCAAUUGAAGGUGGUGGCCUCAUGGCAACUCCACAUCAUUCUCCUGCAGCCCCGAAUCUUAAAAUGAAUAGAAGUGUUGGGUAUUCCUACCCUGCCUUACCUCCAGGCUACCAACAUACUUCUCCACCUGGAGCACCAGGAAUGAAUGCAUCUACUUUGCAAUACCCAGAUGGAUCAAAACAUUUCCACCAGCCUGCCCUGGGCCCUAAUCACUUAACUGCAUCAAUGGGUGGCCUGAGUCUACAGCAGGAAGGGUUAAGACCUGUGAAUCUUCUUCAAGAAAGAAAUAUUCUUCCCACAACCCUCUUGAAGGCUCCUGUCCCCAACUUGCAUGAAGACAUCCAGAAGCUCAACUGCAACCCUGAGUUGUUCCGCUGUACCCUGACUAACAUUCCUCAAACUCAGGCCUUAUUGAAUAAAGCCAAACUUCCUUUGGGGCUCCUGCUUCAUCCUUUCAAAGACUUAUCGCAAUUGCCAGUGGUCACUUCCAGUAUUAUUGUGAGAUGCCGUUCCUGCCGGACGUACAUUAACCCUUUUGUCAGCUUCCUAGACCAAAGGAGAUGGAAAUGCAAUUUGUGCUAUAGAGUGAAUGAUGUUCCUGAAGAAUUCCUGUAUAAUCCUGUGACAAGAGUUUAUGGAGAACCUCAUAAAAGACCUGAAGUCCAGAAUGCUACUAUUGAGUUUAUGGCUCCAUCUGAAUACAUGCUGCGUCCACCUCAGCCGCCCGUGUACCUCUUUGUGUUUGAUGUCUCUCACAAUGCAAUAGAGACAGGAUACUUGAAUACAGUCUGCCAGACCUUGUUAGACAAUCUUGACUCGCUUCCUGGGAACACUAGAACAAAAAUAGGCUUCAUAACGUUUGACAGCACAAUCCAUUUCUACAGUCUUCAGGAAGGUCUUUCUCAGCCUCAGAUGCUUAUAGUUUCAGAUAUUGAAGAUGUAUUUAUACCAAUGCCGGAAAACUUAUUAGUAAAUUUAAAUGAAAAUAAAGAGCUAAUUCAAGAUCUGUUGAAGACAUUGCCACAGAUGUUUACUAAGUCCCUGGAAACUCAGAGUGCUCUGGGGCCUGCAUUACAGGCUGCCUUUAAACUGAUGUCCCCUACUGGAGGUAGAAUCACUGUCUUCCAGACACAGCUCCCAUCUGUGGGAAUGGGAGCACUAAAGUCACGAGAAGAGCCAAACCAAAGAGCAACAGCAAAGGACAUACAUCUGACACCAUCGACUGAUUUUUACAAGAAGUUGGCCUUGGACUGCUCAGGGCAACAGGUUGCAGUGGAUUUAUUUCUUCUUAGUGGGCAAUAUUCUGACUUGGCUUCUCUAGGUUGCAUAUCAAGGUAUUCUGCAGGUAGUGUCUACUACUACCAGUCUUACCAUCAUAAACACAACCCUGUCCAGGUGGAGAAAUUGCAAAAAGAACUGAAGCGAUAUUUAACUAGAAAAAUUGGGUUUGAAGCUGUCAUGAGGAUAAGAUGCACCAAAGGUCUCUCCAUUCAUACUUUCCAUGGGAACUUCUUUGUACGAUCUACAGACUUGUUGUCAUUACCCAAUGUAAACCCAGACGCAGGAUAUGCUGUGCAAAUGUCAGUGGAAGAGAGUCUUACUGAUAUGCAAGUUGUUUCUUUUCAGUCAGCUCUCCUGUACACCUCCAGCAAAGGUGAAAGACGAAUUCGUGUCCACACCAUGUGCUUACCUGUUGUCACAACACUGAGUGAUGUGUACCUAGGAGCAGAUGUGCAGGCCAUCACAGGGCUCUUAGCCAACAUGGCUGUGGACCGCUCCGUUUCUGCUACGCUGAGCGAUGCUCGGGAUGCCUUGGUCAAUGCAGUGAUAGAUUCUUUAGCUGCUUAUCGCUCAUCCGUGCUGAGCAUCCAACAGCCUGGGCUCACAGCUCCACACUCGCUGCGGCUCUUCCCACUUUAUAUACUGGCACUCUUAAAACAGAAAGCAUUUCAAACUGGGACAAACACACGUUUGGAUGAACGCAUCUUUACCAUGUGUCAGGUGAAAAACCAGCCCCUUGUUUACCUCAUGCUCAUGACGCAUCCCAGUCUGUACAGAGUUGAUAAUCUCACAGAUGAGGGGGCUCUUAACAUAAAUGACAGAACUAUACCUCAGCCACCCCUUCUCCAGCUGUCAGUGGAGAAGCUGAGUAGGGAUGGUGCUUAUCUUAUGGAUGCUGGCUCUGUGAUGUUUCUGUGGAUCGGAAAGAACUGUGGGCAGGGCUUUAUCAGCCAAGUCCUUGGAGUUCCAAAUUAUGGCUCAAUACCACAGAAUAUGACACAUCUCCCAGAACUUGAAACUGCAGAAUCCAUCAGAACACGAGCUUUCAUUUCUUGGCUGAGAGAACAGAGACCUUUCUUUCCUAUACUAUAUAUAAUAAAGGAUGAGAGUCCAUUGAAAUCAAGUUUUCUGCAAAAUAUGAUUGAAGACAGAACAGAAUCAGCCUUAUCAUACUAUGAAUUCCUCCUUCAUAUACAGCAGCAAGUGAAUAAAUGAAACACUAGCCUUUGGCUCACUUCUUUAAGGAAAGGUUUUGCAGUAAAGAAUGAUUGUGCUUGUAAUAUCUUCAUUAAAUCUGUGGCCUGAGGCAGUUGUUGAGAAGUUCUCACUGUGAUUUCAACGAACUAAAGCAAAUAAAGGACCACAUCUGAGAAUCAAAUGUGCAACUACAUAAUAUUGUACCUUAAAAGAAAAUCAAACUGUUGGAACUGGUUGAGCACCUUUAAUUUGCUGCAAAUUGUGUUUUUACUAUAAGUAGUUGCAGCAUGAAGUACAUUUACAAAGGCAAUACUGCAAAGAUAUAAAACCUCACAAUACUGAUCAUGAUUUGCAGGGAAAUUCUUUCUAAGUGCAUCCAGUGAUUACAGGCACAGCAUCUCAAUGUUCAUCUUAAUGCUUAAAGUAGCAAUGAAAGAAGUGUUCAUUGUGAAAUGAACAAAUGCUUAUGAAGUGUAGAAUCCAGUGCUUGGAUUGGAUUAUGGCUAAUAGGACUAAAGGUAAGCUUAACCUGGAUAAGGUGGAUGAAUUUGUUGAAGCUAUUAAUAAGUCAGUAUUCUAAUUUUAAAAACGAUGGGGAAGAGUGGGCCCUACAUGAGACAGAUUUUAAAAAGCUGUUGGCUGAGUUGGCAGCAAAAGUAGACUUAGACGGUAAGCUUUGCUUUUCUUCAGUAGAAGGAAUAGUUUUAAUUUUAAUUUUAUGAAUGGUGUGGGAGGGGAAGGGCAAGAAAGGUUAUUUCAGAUUUUGUUUGGUUUAUGUUCAGUAGACUUUUGGCUCUUGUUGACAUUAGGAAUGUUGAGCCCCUCAGAUCUGGUGUGUUUCUGAAGCAAGUUUGUUGGUAGCACUUCAGACCAAAUGUUGGUCUGUGACAUUGAAUAUUCUGACAAGAAAAUUGGAAAUUAUUUUUCCAAGAAUAAAGUUAUCAUAUUGCAUUUGAAGAUUUGUAUAUGGUUGCAGAAAUGCCUGAAGUUUUUUAAAAAAAGGGGGUUUUGCUGCAGCUGUGUAAUGAGCCCAGGUCUAAGGCCAGUGUGCACCAAAUAAAAGCUUUAACUAUACUCUCAGAUCCUGCCAGAGCUACAGAUUGAAGCUGACAUCAGACUUGAAGUGAAAAUUUAUAUACAAAAAAUAUUUAAAUAAUUUUAUAGAAGUGUAUUGAUAGUUUUUCUGUUUUGAAGAUUAAGCUAUCAUUGAUAGCUACCAAUGUAAAGAGUAUAUAAGUUACUAUAUCCCAAUGCCCAUGGAAGUGUUGCAUAUGGAAAAAUCUUGGCUUGCUUUUUUUAUUUAAUAGUGGUAAACUUAAAGGUCUCGCAAAACUUUCUGGGGCAAGUAACUUGAAGAGGUAAAACACUUGCAAGUGGUCAAAUGUACUGUGCUUAGGACAUUUGGAGAUAAAAAUGUCAGUAGGGUCAACAUUUGGGUAAACAUUUGCUCCCAUUUCAAGCUAUAGCUGCACAUGAUUGUCAGGAGUUGCCUUACUUUAGGGGAGGAGGAGUUCCUUGGGAGAAAUUGUUCUUGUUCCUUGAGCACAAGAAGCUAAAGUUCAGAACAAUGCUAAAACAGCAUGAAAACAUUAUUAUAGAACCAAUUUAAGCUUCCCUGUCUGCUGCUUCUGUAGCAAACAGGAAUAUAUUUACUUGAACUGCUUUUCAGAGAAUUGCACAGUUUCUAGUCAUAGUGAAGAGGUUUCUUUUAAGUUUUGACAGUAUGUUUUUUUUUCCAGGGAGGGGAAAAGGGGUCUCUUCAUUUAAAUCAUAAAUGGAACCUCUGCACUUGCAUAGGUUCUGCCCUAAACCUUGUGUUUUGGGUAUAUUAUCACUCAGAUGUUGAACUGAAAACCAUCCUUGCAUCAAAUAGCCCACCCAAAUUCUGUUUCUUACUGUGACUGUAUUUUGCUACUAUAUCCCUUUUUUUAAGAAACAUAAAUACUCGAGAUGGCCUCGUUGCUUUAUGUACACCAGACUAAUGGUUGAAGAUGCCAGUCUUUGUGGCAGUUAACAAGCUUGAAUUUGAGUCCCUAAAUUUUACAGAGCAAAACAUGAUAAAUGAGUCAGAUGAACCCCCUCAGAGUUCUCUUCACUUUGGAAGAAAUUCUGUAUUGAACUUUGUUAGUUUAUCCCCUUGCAGUGGGGAAGGCCUGCUGGUUCACUUGUACUGCUGUAAUGGCAAUACAGGAAACAUUCACACACACACUACCUGUGAUUCCUCAUUUUUACAUACAAUUGAAAAAUGAGGACACUGAAGAUGGACUGCAAAAGUAGGCAAGAGUGGCUCUGGUACUUAGAUCUCAGCACGACAACUCUACCACUGUAAAUGUGUGGUAGAGGUGUGUCUAUUUUUGUAGUUGGACACUUUUUAAAAACUGUUUCUGUAUUUGACACAUUAGUGUUCAGCCAACAUUGUUACCAUCCAUUUUACUUUGCUUUCAUUAUUGUUUUAAAUUUAAUAUAUUUGAGUCUUAAGUCCACACAGACUGUGUUGCAAUAAGUAGAAUGAUUCACUUUUAUUUAGAAUUAAUUUCUUAACAGAAUUUAAUCAAAGAUGCAGAAUGGCUGUUAAGGGACCAGUAAAUGUGAUUUUAAGGUUCUGUUUACUAUUAUGGAUGUAAUCCUUAUAGUAAGUUUAAUUUUGUAAAGUAGUGUAUAAUACUGUAAUAUUAAAUCUUUGUUCUCUGAACUCAAACAUUUGAUCUUCAGUAUGAAGUUAUAAAUCUUCCCCAUUCUGAAUUUGAGACAGGAUUUACUUGUCCUCCUUUUUACAGUUUGUAAUUUUCACUGUUUUAUUCCUGUAAAAAGUCAUUUGUAACACAUGCAAAUGCUUAUUUUAUCUGUGCUAAUUUAUCAGAUUUGGCUACUCAAUAAAAUUAAUUGAAAGAACUCA